This 372-nucleotide ribosomal RNA is filed under the name uncultured bacterium. RNAcentral describes it as "bacterial SSU rRNA". It matches the Rfam family "Bacterial small subunit ribosomal RNA", at positions 527 to 896 of the family's 1533-position model. The record is from RNAcentral.
GUAGGGUGCGAGCGUUGUCCGGAAUUAUUGGGCGUAAAGGGUUCGUAGGCGGUCUGUCGCGUCGGUAGUGAAAACUCAGGGCUUAACCCUGAGCCUGCUUCCGAUACGGGCAGACUAGAGGUAUGCAGGGGAGAAUGGAAUUCCUGGUGUAGCGGUGAAAUGCGCAGAUAUCAGGAGGAACACCGGUGGCGAAGGCGGUUCUCUGGGCAUUACCUGACGCUGAGGAGCGAAAGUGUGGGGAGCGAACAGGAUUAGAUACCCUGGUAGUCCACACCGUAAACGUUGGGCGCUAGGUGUGGGACUCAUUCCACGAGUUCCGUGCCGCAGCUAACGCAUUAAGCGCCCCGCCUGGGGAGUACGGCCGCAAGGSUA